This 840-nucleotide ribosomal RNA is filed under the name uncultured bacterium. RNAcentral describes it as "bacterial SSU rRNA". It matches the Rfam family "Bacterial small subunit ribosomal RNA", at positions 28 to 917 of the family's 1533-position model. The record is from RNAcentral.
AGGAGAGGCUUGCCGGCAGCUAACACAUGCAAGUCGAGCGCUCACUUCGGUGGGAGCGGCGGACGGGCUAGUAACGCGUGGGAACGUGCCCAGAUCUAAGGAAUAGCCACUGGAAACGGUGAGUAAUACCUUAUACGCCCUUCGGGGGAAAGAUUUAUCGGAUUUGGAUCGGCCCGCGUUAGAUUAGAUAGUUGGUGGGGUAAUGGCCUACCAAGUCUACGAUCUAUAGCUGGUUUUAGAGGAUGAUCAGCAACACUGGGACUGAGACACGGCCCAGACUCCUACGGGAGGCAGCAGUGGGGAAUCUUGGACAAUGGGGGCAACCCUGAUCCAGCCAUGCCGCGUGAGUGAUGAAGGCCUUAGGGUCGUAAAGCUCUUUCGCCAGGGAUGAUAAUGACAGUACCUGGUAAAGAAACCCCGGCUAACUCCGUGCCAGCAGCCGCGGUAAUACGGAGGGGGUUAGCGUUGUUCGGAAUUACUGGGCGUAAAGCGCGCGUAGGCGGAUUGGAAAGUUGGGGGUGAAAUCCCGGGGCUCAACCCCGGAACUGCCUCCAAAACUAUCAGUCUAGAGUUCGAGAGAGGUGAGUGGAAUUCCGAGUGUAGAGGUGAAAUUCGUAGAUAUUCGGAGGAACACCAGUGGCGAAGGCGGCUCACUGGCUCGAUACUGACGCUGAGGUGCGAAAGUGUGGGGAGCAAACAGGAUUAGAUACCCUGGUAGUCCACACCGUAAACGAUGAAUGCCAGUCGUCGGCAAGCAUGCUUGUCGGUGACACACCUAACGGAUUAAGCAUUCCGCCUGGGGAGUACGGUCGCAAGAUUACACUCAAAGGAAUUGACGGA